This 326-nucleotide non-coding RNA is filed under the name Nicotiana attenuata. Its description in RNAcentral is "rRNA SSU_rRNA_eukarya". It matches the Rfam family "Eukaryotic small subunit ribosomal RNA", at positions 57 to 375 of the family's 1831-position model. Lineage: Eukaryota; Viridiplantae; Streptophyta; Magnoliopsida; Solanales; Solanaceae. The record is from Rfam by way of RNAcentral.
GUGUAAGUAUGAACAAAUUCAGACUGUGAAACUGCGAAUGACUCAUUAAAUCAGUUAUAGUUUGUUUCAUGGUAUCUACUACUCGGAUAACCAUAGUAAUUCUAGAGCUAAUACGUGCAACAAAUCCCGACUUCUGGAAGGGAUGCAUUUAUUAGAUAAAAGGUCGACGCAGGCUCUGCCCGUUGUUGCGUUGAUUCAUGAUAACUCGACGGAUCGCACGGCCAUCGUGCCGGCGACGCAUCAUUCAAAUUUCUGCCCUAUCAACUUUGGUGGUAGGAUAUUGGCCUACUGUUAGCCCCUUGACAAAGGUCCUCGGCAGGUAUGGG